RNAcentral lists this non-coding RNA (24 nucleotides) under Arabidopsis thaliana (thale cress). Lineage: Eukaryota; Viridiplantae; Streptophyta; Magnoliopsida; Brassicales; Brassicaceae. The record is from RNAcentral.
UCCACCAAUCACAAGCCUCCCGGU